This 171-nucleotide non-coding RNA is filed under the name Fusobacterium ulcerans. Its description in RNAcentral is "Lysine riboswitch". It matches the Rfam family "Lysine riboswitch aptamer". Rfam says of the family: Riboswitches are metabolite binding domains within certain messenger RNAs that serve as precision sensors for their corresponding targets. Lineage: Bacteria; Fusobacteriati; Fusobacteriota; Fusobacteriia; Fusobacteriales; Fusobacteriaceae. The record is from RNAcentral.
CAGAUUGAGGCGCAAUUGACAAAAGUAAUUAUAUGGAGCUAGCCAGCUAUGAAGUAUAGUAAAAGGGGAAAUUGCCGAAAUUUUGAUCUUGUGAGGCGGACAAAUCAAUUUUGGGAAUAUAGAUAAUAUCUAUAUAACUGUCAUUGGGUAUCCAAUGGUGUGCUUUCUGUU